RNAcentral lists this ribosomal RNA (440 nucleotides) under uncultured bacterium. RNAcentral describes it as "bacterial SSU rRNA". It matches the Rfam family "Bacterial small subunit ribosomal RNA", at positions 338 to 795 of the family's 1533-position model. The record is from RNAcentral.
CCUACGGGGGGCACCAGUGGGGAAUAUUGGACAAUGGGCGAAAGCCUGAUCCAGCAGUGCCGCGUGUGUGAAGAAGGUCUUCGGAUUGUAAAGCACUUUCGACGGGAACGAUGAUGACGGUACCCGUAGAAGAAGCCCCGGCUAACUUCGUGCCAGCAGCCGCGGUAAUACGAAGGGGGCUAGCGUUGCUCGGAAUGACUGGGCGUAAAGGGCGCGUAGGCGGUUUAUGCAGUCAGAUGUGAAAUCCCCGGGCUUAACCUGGGAACUGCAUUUGAGACGCAUAGACUAGAGGUCGAGAGAGGGUUGUGGAAUUCCCAGUGUAGAGGUGAAAUUCGUAGAUAUUGGGAAGAAUACCGGUGGCGAAGGCGGCAACCUGGCUCGAUACUGACGCUGAGGCGCGAAAGCUAGGGGAGCGAAUGGGAUUAGAUACCCGGGUAGUC